RNAcentral lists this ribosomal RNA (252 nucleotides) under uncultured bacterium. RNAcentral's name for it is "partial 16S ribosomal RNA". It matches the Rfam family "Bacterial small subunit ribosomal RNA", at positions 29 to 260 of the family's 1533-position model. The record is from RNAcentral.
GCGAACGCUGGCGGCGUGCUUAACACAUGCAAGUCGAGCGAAGGUGUUUCAAGGGUAACCUUGAGAUACACUUAGCGGCGGACGGGUGAGUAAUACGUGGAUAACUUACCUCUAGGCCUGGGAUAACCCCGGGAAACUGGGGCUAAUACCUGAUUAGACCACAUUGUCUACGGACAAAGGGGUAAAGGUGGCUGUGCAAACAGCUAUCGCCAAAAGAUAGGUUCACGUCCCAUCAGGCAGUUGGUGGAGUAG